This 450-nucleotide ribosomal RNA is filed under the name uncultured bacterium. RNAcentral describes it as "partial 16S ribosomal RNA". It matches the Rfam family "Bacterial small subunit ribosomal RNA", at positions 354 to 796 of the family's 1533-position model. The record is from RNAcentral.
GUGGGGAAUUUUGGACAAUGGGCGCAAGCCUGAUCCAGCAAUGCCGCGUGUGUGAAGAAGGCCUUCGGGUUGUAAAGCACUUUUGUCCGGAAAGAAAUCUCCUGGGUUAAUACCUCGGGGGGAUGACGGUACCGGAAGAAUAAGCACCGGCUAACUACGUGCCAGCAGCCGCGGUAAUACGUAGGGUGCGAGCGUUAAUCGGAAUUACUGGGCGUAAAGCGUGCGCAGGCGGCUAUGCAAGACAGAUGUGAAAUCCCCGGGCUCAACCUGGGAACUGCAUUUGUGACUGCAUGGCUAGAGUGCGUCAGAGGGAGGUGGAAUUCCGCGUGUAGCAGUGAAAUGCGUAGAGAUGCGGAGGAACACCGAUGGCGAAGGCAGCCUCCUGGGAUGACACUGACGCUCAUGCACGAAAGCGUGGGGAGCAAACAGGAUUAGAAACCCCGGUAGUCC